CUGCUGAUGAACUGUCUCUGACAGGUUGCCUGGGGUUUAGCUGUCUCUGGGGGGGCAGGGACAGUGGAGGCAAUAGGUGGAGUGGAGCUGCCUCUGCCAUCUGAGACGUGCUUGAGGACACUGUUGCAACGGAGAUCAGUGGAGCAGGUACCAUGCUGCCAGUAGCAACGCCACUCGGGGCUCUGUCAUGAUGGAGCGGCUUCAGUGGGUGAGCGCGAUCAAGGCCUGUCAACUUCUUCCUACCUAGGGAUCGGAGGGCACCUCGUUUGGGAGCUGCAGAGGGGAAUCUGUCACCUACCAACAGCUGCAUCAGGACCGGGUCUUGGACCUUGGCGAUCGCGGGCAAGGAGGGGAAUGAGGCGCUGGACCGCUGCUGCUGGGGGGGUGCAGGGCUGAUAGGGGGCAACAGCUUGCGCUGGCCAGGCGCUACACCGGCUCUGAGCGGCUGCAGUGAACCGCAGAGCAUUGUGGGAUUGUGUUCUGGCGGCAGCACAGGCUCAACAUGAGGAUGAUGAUGAGGAUGAAACAGCUGAUGCUGAGACUGCAGACAGGAAGGAGGCAACACGUCAUCAAACAUGUCACACACACACGCACACACACACAGACACACACACACUGCACUAUCAAUGCAAGUGUAAUACUAUUGUGUAUAUGAACCAUAAACAAAAGCAAUGUUGGAUGUGGUGAUCCCUGAAAGUUUCUAUAACCUAGUUCUAGGUAACCAUUAACCCAUAAUUGUGGUUGAGCCAAAGAUUAUUUAAGAAUAGUUACCAGCAGAGACGGGUAACUAGACAAUCUUUGGUUACCAGUUUAGGUCAUCACACUAAAUUUGACCUUUAACCUUUCUACUUUCUGAAAAAGGUCACUUUCUAAAGUGCGUUAGUAGAAGUGUUAUGUAUCACAACUUAUUAUAGGCACCAGAAAAUAAGGGAUACAACAUUUACCAAAUAUUUAGGCUAUAAAAUGAUAUGUUCAGCUAUAAUAAGAUUGUUGAGGGAACUCACAGAGGUGUAGUUGUUCGGCAUCUGUUUCUUCAGGUGCUGCCGCAUUAUGUUAAUUAUCUCCUGGUUUUGAGCUCGGAUUUUAUCCAGCUCUCCUUUAAGACUUUGGGAAUCCAUUGAACUGAAAGCGAAUAUUUUCACAGACAGUAGCCAGCCUACACUUCCAACUUGGUGAUGACAAUGAACUGAAAUAAACGCCUUACAAAACCGUGUCAAA
This is a long non-coding RNA of Alosa sapidissima (American shad), 1218 nucleotides long. RefSeq lists it as uncharacterized. The transcript is spliced from 2 exons. Lineage: Eukaryota; Metazoa; Chordata; Actinopteri; Clupeiformes; Clupeidae. The record is from RefSeq and is a predicted model, not a curated record.